AGAUUGAACGCUGGCGGCAGGCCUAACACAUGCAAGUCGAGCGGUAGAGAGGUGCUUGCAUCUCUUGAGAGCGGCGGACGGGUGAGUAAUGCCUAGGAAUCUGCCUAGUGGUGGGGGAUAACGUUCGGAAACGGACGCUAAUACCGCAUACGUCCUACGGGAGAAAGCGGGGGACCUUCGGGCCUCGCGCCAUUAGAUGAGCCUAGGUCGGAUUAGCUAGUUGGUGAGGUAAUGGCUCACCCAAGGCGACGAUCCGUAACUGGUCUGAGAGGAUGAUCAGUCACACCUGGAACUGAAGACACGGUCCAAGACU
RNAcentral lists this ribosomal RNA (313 nucleotides) under uncultured soil bacterium. RNAcentral describes it as "bacterial SSU rRNA". It matches the Rfam family "Bacterial small subunit ribosomal RNA", at positions 26 to 337 of the family's 1533-position model. The record is from RNAcentral.